UACGAGGGAUGCAAGCGUAUUCCGGAAUUAUUGGGCGUAAAGCGUUUGUAGGCGGGCGAGUGUGUUUAAUGUUAAAUCUUAAAGCUCAACUUUGAAAUUGCGUUAAAAACUGCUUGUCUUGAGUAUGGUAGGGGUAAAGGGAAUUCCCAGUGUAGCGGUGAAAUGCGUAGAUAUUGGGAAGAACACUAAACAGCGAAGGCACUUUACUAGGCUAAUACUGACGCUGAGAAACGAAAGGUAAGGUAGCGAAACGGAUUAGAUACCCGUGUAGUCUUACCCGUAAACUAUGGACACUAAACGGUAAAUUUUUAAUUUACUGUUAAAGCUAACGCGUUAAGUGUCCCGCCUGGGGAGUAUGCUUGCAAAAGUGAAACUCAAAGGAAUUGAUGGGGGCCCGCACAAGCGGUGGAGCAUGUGGUUUAAUUCGACGGUACACGAAGAACCUUACCAGGAUUUGACAUGCUAGAUAGUUGCUUGAAAGAGUAACGUGCCGUAAGGAAUCUAGACACAGGUGGUGCAUGGCUGUCGUCAGUUCGUGUUGUGAAAUGUUGGGUUAAGUCCCGCAACGAACGCAACCCUUGUCUUUAGUUAUUUUCUAAAGAGACUGCCUGUAAUAAACAGGAGGAAGGUAAGGAUGAGGUCAAGUCAUCAUGCCCCUUAUGUCCUGGGCUACACACGUGCUACAAUGGGAAAGACAAUGAGCUGCAAAUCUGUAAAUUUAAGCAAAUCUCUUAAACUUUCUCGUAGUUCGGAUUGUGGGCUGCAACUCGCCCACAUGAAGUUGGAAUCGCUAGUAAUCGC
Molecule: ribosomal RNA, 801 nt
Filed under: uncultured bacterium
Lineage: Bacteria
Description: bacterial SSU rRNA
Rfam family: Bacterial small subunit ribosomal RNA
Source: RNAcentral